CCUACGGGAGGCAGCAGUCGAGAAUCAUUCACAAUGGGGGAAACCCUGAUGGUGCGACGCCGCGUGGGGGAAUGAAGGUCUUCGGAUUGUAAACCCAUGUCAUGUGGGAGCAAAUUAAAAAGAUAGUACCACAAGAGGAAGAGACGGCUAACUCUGUGCCAGCAGCCGCGGUAAUACAGAGGUCUCAAGCGUUGUUCGGAAUCACUGGGCGUAAAGCGUGCGUAGGCUGUUUCGUAAGUCGUGUGUGAAAGGCGCGGGCUCAACCCGCGGACGGAACAUGAUACUGCGAGACUAGAGUAAUGGAGGGGGAACCGGAAUUCUCGGUGUAGCAGUGAAAUGCGGAGAUAUCGAGAGGAACACUCGUGGCGAAGGCGGGUUCCUGGACAUUAACUGACGCUGAGGCACGAAGGCCAGGGGAGCGAAAGGGAUUAGAUACCCGGGUAGUC
Molecule: ribosomal RNA, 446 nt
Filed under: uncultured bacterium
Lineage: Bacteria
Description: partial 16S ribosomal RNA
Rfam family: Bacterial small subunit ribosomal RNA
Source: RNAcentral